GGUGGUACCUAACACUACAGGAAGAUAACUCUGUAAAGUCAGCUAAACGUUUUAAUUACGUUGUGUUGUAUAAGGAAUAUUAAGCUUCUUAAUGAUCAAAAUUGGUGUUUGUCAAACUGCUAUAUAACCAGUGUAUUUUUUCUGACAAAACGGUUGGUUCAAAAUUUUUGAAAUUUUUAUAUUUUUGUUAAAGGGUCAAAGUAAAUACUUUGUCAAAAUUUAAAUAAAAUUAAACGAGCCAAAUUAAUUUUAGUGAAAGUGUUAG
RNAcentral lists this long non-coding RNA (265 nucleotides) under Mytilus galloprovincialis (Mediterranean mussel). Lineage: Eukaryota; Metazoa; Mollusca; Bivalvia; Mytilida; Mytilidae. The record is from RNAcentral.